This 483-nucleotide unclassified non-coding RNA is filed under the name Hevea brasiliensis (rubber tree). The record is from RNAcentral. Lineage: Eukaryota; Viridiplantae; Streptophyta; Magnoliopsida; Malpighiales; Euphorbiaceae.
UCCACUGAUGAAGAUUCCAAUUAUUGAUAUUGGUCUUCUUGCUUCUCCAACAUCGAUCUGCAGAGAAGAACUUGAAAAACUCCAUUCUGCUCUCAGCUCAUGUGGCUGCUUUAUGUCAAUAAAUCAUGGGAUGACAAGUUCGUUCUUGGACGAAGUGCGGUUAGCUACCAAGAAAUUCUUUGCUCUUCCCAUGGAAGAGAAGCAGAAAUAUGCCAGAGAAGUUGACGCCAUGGAAGGUUAUGGGAAUGACAUGAUUCUUUCAGAAGAUCAAGUGCUUGAUUGGAAUGACCGACUAUAUCUUCUAGCAAGCCCAGAAGACCAGAGACAGCUCAGAUAUUGGCCAGAAAGUCCUGCUAAUUUUAGAGAGACUUUGUUUGAAUAUACCUCUAAGUUACGGCUGAUAACUGAGGUCGUCCUCAAGGCCAUGGCUAGGUCACUGAACUUGGAAAACAACUGCUUUUUAGACAAAUAUGGAGCUAGGGC